AGUGAACGCUGGCGGUAGGCCUAACACAUGCAAGUCGAACGGCAGCACAGAGGAGCUUGCUUCUUGGGUGGCGAGUGGCGGACGGGUGAGGAAUACAUCGGAAUCUACUCUGUCGUGGGGGAUAACGUAGGGAAACUUACGCUAAUACCGCAUACGACCUACGGGUGAAAGCAGGGGACCUUCGGGCCUUGCGCGAUUGAAUGAGCCGAUGUCGGAUUAGCUAGUUGGCGGGGUAAAGGCCCACCAAGGCGACGAUCCGUAGCUGGUCUGAGAGGAUGACCAGCCAGACUGGAACGGAGAUACGGUCCAGACUCCUACGGGAGGCAGAAGUGGGGAAUAUUGGACAAUGGGCGCAAGCCUGGUCCAGCCAUACCGCGUGGGUGAAGAAGGCCUUCGGGUUGUAAAGCCCUUUUGUUGGGAAAGAAAUCCAGCUGGCUAAUACCCGGUUGGGAUGACGGUACCCAAAGAAUAAGCACCGGCUAACUUCGUGCCAGCCGCCGCGGUAA
This 506-nucleotide ribosomal RNA is filed under the name uncultured bacterium. Its description in RNAcentral is "partial 16S ribosomal RNA". It matches the Rfam family "Bacterial small subunit ribosomal RNA", at positions 29 to 523 of the family's 1533-position model. The record is from RNAcentral.